RNAcentral lists this ribosomal RNA (324 nucleotides) under Thaumatomonas sp. RNAcentral's name for it is "SSU rRNA". The stretch from base 105 to 324 matches the Rfam family "Eukaryotic small subunit ribosomal RNA", at positions 734 to 955 of the family's 1831-position model. The record is from RNAcentral. Lineage: Eukaryota; Cercozoa; Imbricatea; Thaumatomonadida; Thaumatomastigidae.
GAUUUCUGGUUCGAUGCGUUUGGCCCUCUCGGAGCAAUCCGGCGUGCGUGCCGAUGCGCGUCUGCCAUCCUUGCAGAGAACGUUUCUACCCUUCACUGGGCCGGAUUCGCAAUCUGCAUCCUUUACUUUGAAAAAAUUAGAGUGUUUAAAGCAGGCUUGUGCUAUGAAUACAUUAGCAUGGAAUAAUAAUUUAGGACUUUGGCCCUAUUUUGUUGGUUUCUAGGACUGAAGUAAUGAUUGAUAGGGAUAGUUGGGGGUGCUCGAAUUCAGCGGCCAGAGGUGAAAUUCUUGGAUUCGCUGAAGACGAACUCAUGCGAAAGCAUU